RNAcentral lists this ribosomal RNA (253 nucleotides) under uncultured bacterium. Its description in RNAcentral is "partial 16S ribosomal RNA". It matches the Rfam family "Bacterial small subunit ribosomal RNA", at positions 524 to 776 of the family's 1533-position model. The record is from RNAcentral.
UACGUAGGUGGCAAGCGUUAUCCGGAAUUAUCGGGCGUAAAGAGCGCGCAGGUGGUUAAUUAAGUCUGAUGUGAAAGCCCACGGCUUAACCGUGGAGGGUCAUUGGAAACUGGUUGACUUGAGUGCAGAAGAGGGAAGUGGAAUUCCAUGUGUAGCGGUGAAAUGCGUAGAGAUAUGGAGGAACACCAGUGGCGAAGGCGGCUUCCUGGUCUGCAACUGACGCUGAGGCUCGAAAGCGUGGGGAGCAAACAGG